AUGCUUUGAUGAGGAUGUCUCUGCCUUCCCUGCGUGCAGUAGGCUCUGCACGGGGAAGUGCCACGUCCUGGAGGCCCCGAGCUAGGUUUCCCUCCGAGCAGGCUCUGCAGAAGACCCAGGUGAAGCAAUCCCAUUUUUGGGGUCGUUUCCCUGUGCUGGAAGCCCCAUGAUGGGGAGACGUCUGCCUGGGGACAAAACCACCUUUAAAAAGAAAACAAAGCUCUAAGCACUUCAUUUAUCCCAGCUGUGCACAGCCCAGCCCCCUCCGUGUGUGCAGAACUAUUAAAUUAGGGUUGCUUUCACUGGGGUAGCUUCCUCCCGUGGCCCGUAGCCAUGUGCUCUGCUUUGCCUUCAGACAACCGCAGCUCCAGCCAUCCGUCUGCACCCAUGACAUGAGGUGCAACUUGCUGCUCCCCUCCGCAGUGUUGUGCAAAGCGCCCUCCUCUGCCACUGCCACCUUCCUCUGAGUUUUCCCGAUCGUGAUUCCUGCCCUGAAUGACUUCUUUUCGUUGUAAAUAGAGCAUGCACAUAUGGAUUGGGAAUGGUAUAUUAAAAAAAAAAAAAAAAAAAAAAAAAAAAAAAAAAAAGGAGCCUCUUCUACUGCUGUUUGCAUUCCAACUCGCAUGCAGUGAUUUUACAGCAAAAUAUCAGUUUACAAAUAUUAACAGAAAGAGAAAAUGUUACACAGGAACUAGAAAUACUCCAGUCUUCCGCUGCAUGCAGCACAACAUCCUCUCUUGAUGUGGUAUCUAAUAAAGUGAGACUAUUGGAAAAGAAAAAAAAA
Molecule: long non-coding RNA, 784 nt
Organism: Oxyura jamaicensis (ruddy duck)
Lineage: Eukaryota; Metazoa; Chordata; Aves; Anseriformes; Anatidae
Exons: 2
Source: RefSeq, a predicted model, not a curated record